This 2072-nucleotide long non-coding RNA is filed under the name Homo sapiens (human). RNAcentral's name for it is "HSALNT0186286". Lineage: Eukaryota; Metazoa; Chordata; Mammalia; Primates; Hominidae. The record is from RNAcentral.
CUAGGGCUCACAUCUAGGUACAGGGAGCCUGGGAAAUAUGUAUUUUGUUCAGGCAUCAGUGGGUUCGUUUAAAAAUAAGUGGAGGUCUAAUAAGGAAGAACUGAUGUUAGCAAUGUCUGCCAUUCAUUGCCCCAGACCUCUUCCUCUUGUAUCUCAUAUCCUACCAGAACUGGAGGAGGAAGGAAGGAGGGCAGAAUUAGCUUAAAAUGUAAUUUAUGAAUUUCAAGAAAUACCUGUAAAGGUGAUGAUAGUUAACAACACAACUCAGGUGUCACUUUUUAGGAAGAUUUUCCUAACCACCUCUCCGCACAGUCAAGGAUGGAUGCCCUUUUUACAAGCUUUUAUCUUCCAUCUCGUGCAGUACCUAUCAUGCCAUUUAUUGAUGAUACAAUAAUUGUCUAUUUCUCUCUUCCCAACUGUUUCUCACAUCAACUUAACUAUAAUGGCUUCAGUUAAAACCUGAAUUUAUAUUUCUUUGUAUCUCCAGUAUCUCUCGCCUAAUGUAUAACAUACAUUAGAUUCACAAAAAGUGUUUAUUACUUAAAUUGGUUGAAAAAAUUGCAAACAAAAAAUCUCUACUUAAAUGUCAUAAAGGUUUUGUAAAGUAAUAGUAUAGAGAGAACUUCUCCAGCUAUCAAAAUAUUUAGCACCAAAUUUUUUGCUUAUGAACAUAAAAGAAUCUUUUAUUUCCAUCAAUAUUAAGACUAUCAUCUGAUCUUCUGAACAUGUUCAAUAUUGCUGGCAAACAGAAUUACCUGCAUUUUGUCAAUGAUGAAUGUUAAGACAAUUAUAAAUAUUUUAAAAUCAUUCUUUUAUCAAGGUUGUGAAAAAAAACUCUCAUAAAAUACUCUAAAAAAACACAAAUAGUGAAUCCUAUCCACUUUAUGUAAAUGGUAAAGUUGGGCUCAGGGUGACAAAAUUUGAAAUAGAAUAACACAUUGACUCUCCAACCAAUGUUAUCUCCUCCACAUAAUCCUAGUGGGGCAGGCCUGAAGUGGACAGCAAGACUUUCACCAAAACAGUUCCCACACAGCUCAAUCUCUCCUCUUCCCUCUGUUACCCCACAUGGCAUUGUAAAAAAAACAGAAAUUUAAGCUGAUAUGAUUCAUUUUCUCAGCCCUUUUCAGUUUAAAUCUGUUCACAUUUCUUAUUGUAGUUAUUCAUAACUUUUUCUUGAUUUUCUUAGGUCGGACACAUAUGUUCUUCAGAUCAGAAAUUCAACUGAUAAAGAUACUUCUGAAUUUACAACUGCUUGGUUUUAAGAAAAAUGUAUCCAAGACAGAGGAGUUUGUUCAAAAGUCUCCAUUUUUUCCCCUAGCACUGUACACUGUUAUUUUAUGAUUCAUUCAGUUACCAAACAUUUGUUGAAUACAAACUAUGCACAAGGCAAAUGCUAUGAUAAUGCGCAAAUUUGCAUUCGCAUUAAAUUUUCCUUAAUUUGAGCUAUAAAAUACAAUUAACUAAAGAUAUUGCAUUAUAUAUUAUUAUUUAUAUAAUCCCACAUGUAACUGGAUCAAACAUUGAAUUGGAAAUUGAGGGAAAUUGGUUAAAAUCAAAUAAGUGUGUGUGUGUAUAAUUUUCUGUUAAAAGAUAUGAAUUGUCAGAUGGGAAAAAAUUUCUUGCUUUAAGCAAGUACUGACCCAAAAUAUUAAAUAAAAAUAGUCCAUUUAGAAUCUACUUACAGAGUACUCAUGCACUGUGUAAAAUGCUAAUGAUGAGGGAGAAAAUGAGUCUCCUUCACUCUUUCACUCAUCUCUUGGGCUAAGGGCAUGAGAUCUGAUAGCCAUUGUCACUUACAGCUACACACAUCUUCAGCAAUUAUAAAUUUACACGUUUUUCCCUCCAGUUAAUGUAGCUAAAUUUUAUUUUAUCUUCUAAGUACUACACAUUACUUUUAUCAAUACUACUUUCUCUAGGAAGAAUUUGUACAUAAAUGAAGGACCAUAGGUCCCUUAAAUAUAUAUCUAUAUUAUAUAUAUAUAAUAUAUAUAAAUAUAUUUAUAUAAUGCUGAAUUCCUUCUGUCCUUCAGUGUCUUACUCAAAAUAUCUAUAAAUCCUUAGUAAUGUUUAAG